RNAcentral lists this ribosomal RNA (332 nucleotides) under uncultured bacterium. RNAcentral's name for it is "bacterial SSU rRNA". It matches the Rfam family "Bacterial small subunit ribosomal RNA", at positions 568 to 898 of the family's 1533-position model. The record is from RNAcentral.
UGCGUAGGCGGCUUUUUAAGUUUGGUGGUGAAAUCUCCCGGCUCAACUGGGAGGGUGCGCCGAAUACUGAGAGGCUAGAGUGCGGGAGAGGAAAGUGGAAUUCCUGGUGUAGCGGUGAAAUGCGUAGAUAUCAGGAGGAACACCGGUGGUGUAAACGGCUUUCUGGACCGUAACUGACGCUGAUGCACGAAAGCGUGGGUAGCAAACAGGAUUAGAUACCCUGGUAGUCCACGCCCUAAACGAUGCAUAUUUGGUGUGGGCCAUUCAUUUGGUCCGUGCCGGAGCUAACGCGUUAAAUAUGCCGCCUGGGGAGUACAGGUCGCAAGGCUGAA